GACGAACGCUGGCGGCGCGCUUAACACAUGCAAGUCGAACGGAAAGGCCUGCUUUCCCUUGUGGAUUGCGGGUACUCGAGUGGCGAACGGGUGAGUAACACGUGAGUGAUCUGCCCCCAACUUGGGUAUAAGCCUGGGAAACUGGGUCUAAUUCCCGAUAGGACUGCAGGGUGGUGCCUGUGGUGGAAAACGAUUUUCUAGUGGUUGGGGAUGAGCUCGCGGCCUAUCAGCUUGUUAGUGGGGUAAUGGCCUACCAAGGCGGCGACGGGUAGCCGGCCUGGGAGGGUGGACGGCCACAUUGGGACUGAGAUACGGCCCAGACUCCUACGGGAGGCAGCAGUGGGGAAUAUUGCACAAUGGGCGGAAGCCUGAUGCAGCGACGCCGCGUGGGGGAUGACGGCCUUCGGGUUGUAAACUCCUUUCGACCGCGAGGAAGCCACCUGGUUGGAAGGGUGGUGACGGUAGUGGUAGAAGAAGCACCGGCUAACUACGUG
RNAcentral lists this ribosomal RNA (494 nucleotides) under uncultured bacterium. RNAcentral describes it as "partial 16S ribosomal RNA". It matches the Rfam family "Bacterial small subunit ribosomal RNA", at positions 28 to 507 of the family's 1533-position model. The record is from RNAcentral.